ACGGCGAGUGAAGCGGCAACAGCUCAAAUUUGAAAUCUGGCUUCGGCCCGAGUUGUAAUUUGUAGAGGAUGCUUUUGGCGCGGUGCCUUCUGAGUUCCCUGGAACGGGACGCCAUAGAGGGUGAGAGCCCCGUAUAGUUGGACACCAAGCCUUUGUAAAGCUCCUUCGACGAGUCGAGUAGUUUGGGAAUGCUGCUCAAAAUGGGAGGUAAAUUUCUUCUAAAGCUAAAUACCGGCCAGAGACCGAUAGCGCACAAGUAGAGUGAUCGAAAGAUGAAAAGCACUUUGAAAAGAGGGUUAAAUAGCACGUGAAAUUGUUGAAAGGGAAGCGCUUAUGACCAGACUUGUUCCCGGUUGAUCAUCCAGUGUUCUCACUGGUGCACUCUGCCGGGGUCAGGCCAGCGUCGGUUCUCGUAGGGGGAUAAAAGCUUCAGGAACGUGGCUCCUCCGGGAGUGUUAUAGCCUGUUGCACAAUACCCUUAUGGGGACCGAGGUUCGCGCUCUGCAAGGACGCUGGCGUAAUGGUCAUCAGCGACCCGUCUUGAAACACGGACCAAGGAGUCGAGGUUUUGCGCGAGUGUUUGGGUGUCAAACCCGCACGCGUAAUGAAAGUGAACGUAGGUGAGAGCUUCGGCGCAUCAUCGACCGAUCCUGAUGUAUUCGGAUGGAUUUGAGUAAGAGCGUAUAGCCUCGGACCCGAAAGAUGGUGAACUAUGCUUGUAUAGGGUGAAGCCAGAGGAAACUCUGGUGGAGGCUCGCAGCGGUUCUGACGUGCAAAUCGAUCGUCAAAUAUGAGCAUGGGGGCGAAAGACUAAUC
This 816-nucleotide ribosomal RNA is filed under the name Porosphaerella borinquensis. Its description in RNAcentral is "LSU rRNA". It matches the Rfam family "Eukaryotic large subunit ribosomal RNA", at positions 86 to 936 of the family's 3401-position model. The record is from RNAcentral. Lineage: Eukaryota; Fungi; Ascomycota; Sordariomycetes; Chaetosphaeriales; Chaetosphaeriaceae.